GAUCCUGCCAGUAGUGUAUGCUUCUCCUAAAGAUUAAGCCAUGCAUGUCGUGAAUAUGAGGUGACGGUCUCUCUGAAUCUGCGAACGGCUCCGCAAACCAGUUGCAAUACCUAGCACGCUCAGCCUUGGGGCCUCGGCUCCUUGGCACCGAUACGGAUAUCCCUGGUAAUUCUGGGGCUAAUACAUGGCUAACCCCAACGCGUACGGCCCCACGGGGGCGCUUCACGGCGCCCUAUCCAACGUGCGGUGACCUGCGCGGGGCGCGUGAAAUCAUACCAAGCUYGGGCAAAAAUCAUUCAGUCGGGACAGAACGCACGCCCAGACCUGCACGCUUCACGGCAACUGGGGAAACUCACGACGGCGGCGGGCCCGGCUUCGGCCUGGGCUUUGACCGUCCUGACGGGGAUCCUCGGGCAGGCAGGUGCCACGGCUUCUGACCUAUCAACUAGAAUGCGGUAAAAUGGGCUGCAAUGGUCGCAACGGGUACAGAGGAUUAGGGUUCGAUCCUGGAGAGUGGGCCUGAGAGAUUGCUCCUACUUCUAAGGAAGGCAGCAGGCGCGCAAAGUUCCCAGUGGACACCAGUCCGAGGGCGUUAGGGGAAAUAUGAAUGGUCAUCAUUAUGGUGGCCAAUUCAAAUGGGUCUGUCGUAAACUGACUCUCGAGUAACAAUUAGAGGACAAGUCUGGUGCCAGCACCCGCGGUAAUUCCAGCUCCAAUAGCAUACGUUAAAGUUGUUGCGGUUAAAACGCUCGUAGUCGCGGUCGGGCCGUUGAAAGGCUGUGCGAGUGAACCUGCGUCGCGCCUCGUAAAAAGGGUGCACCUGGGGAUCGAGUGCGGCAAGACGGCGGUCCAACCAAGGUGCCCGUUGUGCGUGCGGUGGGCUUGCUCACUGAUUACAGGGGCCUCGCUUGCGGGGUCCUGGCCGGCGGGUUGCCGUGAUUGCCGUGAUUAAACUGGCGUGAUCAAGGCACGGCUUCACGCCUCUUGCACAGCCCAGCAUGGCAUGAAAGCAGCCGGUGCGGCGUCGUUCCCUUUCCCGGGCUCCGGCGUCGCGCCAAAGCGCACCUAAAGGGUUGUUUCCAGGGCGGCCGAAUUGUCGGGCGAGUGGUGAAAUACGUUGACCCUGGCAAGUCGACCAAAGGCGAAAGCAGCUGCCCGGGGCCUUCCCGUUGAUCAAGAGCGAAAGUUAAGGGCUCGAAGACGAUCAGAUACCGUCGUAGUCUUAACUAUAAAUGAUACUGACCAGGUAUAGGGCGAUGUCCAUACCGACUCCCUCCGCGCCUUCGGGAAACUACAGUCUUUGAGUUCCGGGGGGAGUAUGGUCGCAAGUCUGAAACUUAAAGGAAUUGACGGAAGGGCACACAAAGAGUGGAACCUGCGGCUUAAUUUGACUCAACACGGGACAACUCACCGGGUCAAGAUACAGUGAUGAAGGACAGGCGGAAAGACCUUUCCCAAUAAUGUAAGUGGUGGUGCAUGGCCGUUCUUAGUUCGUGGAGUGAUUUGUCUGGUCUAUUCCGAUAACGAGCGAGAUCUCAAUGUUUAACUAUGGGGUGCGCAGCCCGGCCCGUGCUCCGCGCCUGUGCUCGUGCGCGCUGGGGCAACCUGGCGUACGCGGGUGUGGGAAUUGGGAGUGCGGUGCCAGCCGCCACCUGUGAGCGCGAGCUUCUUCUUAGACAGAUCGGGGCCGAUAAGGUCCCUGAAAUGAGGCAAUAACAGGUCAGUGAUGCCCUUAGAUGUUCCGGGCCGCACGCGGGUUACAAUGGCAUGAAGAACGCGUAUACCUUCCGUCAAAGGGAGUACAUCCUUGGAAGGCAGCCCCGCCACCUAAAGGUCGGCGGUAAUCCCUAGUCCAUGCCUCGACUGGGAUAGUCUAUUGGAAUUAUUGGUCUUGAACGAGGAAUUUUUAGUAGGCGCGCGUCAUUACCGCGCGCCGAAUUAUCCCUGCCCUUUGUACACACCGCCCGUCGCUGCUACCGAUUGGAAUAUGUCAGUUACGCGUUCAGAAAAUUGGGUCACCUGGUCGGGCCUCCCGUCGGCUGGGGGGCCCCCC
RNAcentral lists this ribosomal RNA (2053 nucleotides) under Stemonitis foliicola. Its description in RNAcentral is "SSU rRNA". It matches the Rfam family "Eukaryotic small subunit ribosomal RNA". Lineage: Eukaryota; Evosea; Eumycetozoa; Stemonitida; Stemonitidae. The record is from RNAcentral.